RNAcentral lists this ribosomal RNA (424 nucleotides) under uncultured bacterium. RNAcentral describes it as "bacterial SSU rRNA". It matches the Rfam family "Bacterial small subunit ribosomal RNA", at positions 508 to 930 of the family's 1533-position model. The record is from RNAcentral.
GCAGCAGCCGCGGUAAUACGUAGGGUGCAAACAUUAUCCGGAUUUAUUGGGCGUAAAGAGCUCGUAGGUGGCUUGAAAAGUUGAGUAUGAAAGACCCGGGCCCAACCCGGGGAACGUACUCAAAACUCUCAAGCUAGAGGUAUGCAGGGGAAGAUGGAACACACGGUGUAGCAGUGAAAUGCGUAGAUAUCGUGUGGAACGCCGAUGGUGAAGACAGUCUUCUGGGCAUAUCCUGACACUGAGGAGCGAAAGCGUGGGGAGCGAACGGGAUUAGAUACCCCGGUAGUCCACGCCGUAAACGAUGCAUGCUAGGAAUUUGGAGAAUCGACCCUCUGAGUUUCGAAGCUAACGCGUUAAGCAUGCCGCCUGGGUAGUACGGCCGCAAGGUUAAAACUCAAAGGAAUUGACGGGGGCCCGCACAAGG